UCCCUGGUGGUCUAGUGGUUAAGACUCUGUGCUUCCAAUAUAGGGAGUGCUGGUUCAAUCCCUGGUGGGGGAA
This 73-nucleotide transfer RNA is filed under the name Capra hircus (goat). It matches the Rfam family "tRNA". From Rfam's summary of the family: Transfer RNA (tRNA) molecules are approximately 80 nucleotides in length. Their secondary structure includes four short double-helical elements and three loops (D, anti-codon, and T loops). Lineage: Eukaryota; Metazoa; Chordata; Mammalia; Artiodactyla; Bovidae. RNAcentral also lists the same sequence under 1 other name. The record is from Rfam by way of RNAcentral.